CAGCCGCCGCGGUAACACGGAGGGUGCGAGCGUUAAUCGGAAUUACUGGGCGUAAAGCGUACGCAGGCGGUUUGUUAAGUCAGAUGUGAAAUCCCCGAGCUUAACUCGGGAACUGCAUUUGAAACUGGCAAGCUAGAGUCUCGUAGAGGGGGGUAGAAUUCCAGGUGUAGCGGUGAAAUGCGUAGAGAUCUGGAGGAAUACCGGUGGCGAAGGCGGCCCCCUGGACGAAGACUGACGCUCAGGUACGAAAGCGUGGGGAGCAAACAGGAUUAGAUACCCGGGUAGUCCCUGUCUCUUAUAA
Molecule: ribosomal RNA, 301 nt
Filed under: uncultured bacterium
Lineage: Bacteria
Description: partial 16S ribosomal RNA
Rfam family: Bacterial small subunit ribosomal RNA
Source: RNAcentral